ACCGACUUGCCUGCGGGCAAAGCGCUGGCAGCCUGCGUGCUGUGGUCCCCGCUGGCGCAGGGGUGCUCGUGCUCCGAAACGUCGGGUUUCCUUACCCGUGCAGGUGCUGGAGGCGCUUCCCGCGGGGGAGCUCCGGUGCCUCCCCGCGCGCGGGGCCCGGCGGCCUGCACGCGCGGGGCUCGGGGCCUGUCCUGUUAGGUGCGGGCUCGGUUCAAGCAAGGCCCUUCGUUGCUAUGGUAAUGCAAAAUAAAAACCUAUGCUAUGGGAAUUUUAGCAAAAUAUCCCCCCCUUUUUUUCCUAAAUUAAAUUGGCCUGUGGUUCAGAAUUGUGUGGGCACACAGCACUAGGCAUGCUUGUAUCCUCCAGGCAUAGCUGCCGAGCAGCAGCUGGGUGGAGGGCUGUGAGCUGGGCAACUUGUCUUUUAUUCCUGAUACUGCAUAUGAUUUUUAUGUGACUUUGAGAAAAAUCUCUUAGCAUACUUCUCUCAAUCUUUAUCUGUAGCAGGGAAUCAACUGGUUCUACUGAUUGCCUGCAGUAACGUUUAUAAAAAGUUUUGACUCUGGUGUAAGUCUUGUUAGUGAAAACCUGUAUUUUGAAAGCAUUUGUUGAUGGUUGCUGUCAAAGAGCAAGGACACAUCAAUUAGGCUCUCCCGGGGGAUCGUCUCGGAACAGUUUCUCGUCAAUAUUUUCUGUAAUAGCUUGGGUGAUAGAAUGGAGUUUGCUUUUAUAACAUUUGCAAUGACUCUGACCGUGGAGUGCAGGACUGGGAUUUAACAUGAUCCUGAUAGAUUGGAGAACCAGGCUGAAAUCAAUAAGAUAAAAUUCAAGAAGGGCAAGUGUGAAGUGUGCCACUUAGGAAGGCAGAUUGCAAAAAAGGAGGCAAAAAUACUACAGAAGAGAAUCUCAGGAUUAUAGUGGAUCACAGGCGGUGCAGUGUUGCAAAAUAGUUGAGUGUUGUUCUGAGCGCUAGUAACAGGAGGAGCGUAUGUAAGACAUUGGAGGGUGUUAUUUCUGUUCUGUUUAGCACUAGUCAGACUCAGCUGAAGCACUCUAGCCAGUUUCAAGCAUUACACUUAAAGAAAAAUGUAGGCAAACAAGAUAGGAGAAUAGCAACCAAAAUUGUAAGAGGCUUAGGAAAUAGCAGCUAUGAGGAAAGACUGAAUUUGAUUGUUUGGUCUGGAAGAGAAAACACAAAGCCAGGACAUGGCGACAAUCUUCAAAUGUAUAAACACAUUUAGAAAGAUGACUACUACUGUAUGAAUAGCUGGAAUCUGAGGAGGUCAUCAGUCUGUUCACUGAAAAUUUAAAGAAAAUGUUAGAUAAAGACCCACCAGGAAUGGCUGUGGCCUGCAUGACCAUGCCUCAGAACAGGGAAGAUCAUUUUAGUGAUCUCCUGAAAGAUUUACCAGCCCAUGUUUGUAUGAUUUCUGAUGGUUACACGAGCUACAGCUGUCCUUUCAGGAAGAGGCUCAGGGCAUGACACAGAAAGAGAACUAGUUACACAUCACUAGAUGAUACAAUUAAUGCAGUGUUUCUUCUGUUCAAUAAAUCAUACCAAACUAUGCUCAUGAGGGUCUAUUGCUUCUUCCCUCUCAGCCUCUUGAUCUCUUAUAGCUCCAAAUUAGACUUUCAUCCCAUCCGUUGAACCUGGUUGUACCCCAAUUCUUAGCACAGAGCUGAGAACCUGGGGUCUUGAGGAGCGUAAGCUUUUUACAGGGCAACAGAAUAAUGGGGACAGGGACCAGGAUGUAUUCCCCAUCAUUCUUGUUGUAUAGCCAGAUCUUAUUUUCUCCAUCUAUUCUUUCUCUCUCCAGCUCCAUCCAAUCAGUGGAAGGCAGUUAAAAAGGAAGGGACAGAGUAGUUAUCCAGCUUAAGACACAGUGGAUGGUUGCACUUUAUUAAAAUAGGAAGGAAAAUAUCCUGUGGUAAAGACUGGUAGAAUUUGCAAAGAAAAUAUAACGGUUAUUCAUCAUCCCUGCUGUGUGGAUCAGUCUCUCCUUAACGUCUGGUUUAGUACAUGGUGUCCAUGGGCAGCUCACGGAGCCAGAUAAUGAGAGAAACUAUCCAUUGCAAAUAAGCAACUUUCAAACCCUGUUUGGGGCAAUAACAAUUGAAAUUUGUUACUUCUGGAUGGUGAGGCAUGAAUAUGGGUGUCUUGGAAGUGGCAUGGUUCUGCCUAUGGAAAAAGCCACCUUGUUUGGGCACUUCGUUGGCAGAUUCAGCAGUGAGGUCAACAGCUUCAUGGAGAGCCUGACUUCUGAUGGAGAAAUAAGUCAGGAGUGAGGUUACUAGCUGCAGCCAAUAUUAUAUCUGUUCUGGCAAAUAGAGGUCUUUUCUCUUCAGGCAUGUCUUGCCUUCAUCUUUCCUGAGCACUGAAUUCAUGUAAAAAAUGAAAGUGAAUACCUGCCCUUGAAGAUAACAAGUAGCAUGCUAACGGUUUUUCUGUAGCGAUAAGCUGACUGCACGGCAAACUGGCUGAGGACUCCUGGAGUAAAUCGACCACUUUGUGCUCCUUGAGGAAUUAGCAUUGCCGCAGAGAAAAAUUUUAAUCCCACUUUCAUUACUUUUGCAGCUUGCGGCUGCUUUUCCUUCUGUUCCUUUGAUUGCUGACACUGAAAUCCUCUUCUACUGUUUCUCUGGCUUUUUGCAGAUAAUUCCAGCAUCAUCCUGCAGGCAGGAGUGAUGCUGCCAGCAAAACGAGGUAACUUCGCAGCACCUUUCCCCUCUCACUUUCCAAACAAAACAAGCGAGUCAAUUUAUCUCUCAUAAGACAGAAUUUAGAUAUCAAUACAGCCAAAAGGUAAGAAUUUUCAAAACCAGGCUACAGGCUGAGGAUUAUUCACAGGACCUAUUCAUCAGACAAUUUCAACUAAUGAACACGUUACAGAAAAUGCCAUCUGUUUGGGGACAGUUUUGUAAACAGAGAUAGAGGCAAAACUCUUUGAAUAAAUUAUGUAUGGCAAAUUAUUCACCUGGUCUUAGAAACCUUAAUGCUUUUGUCUAGUAAGGAUAAUGAUACUAUACCAUGUAUACGCAAGAUGUUAGCCUAAAAGUGGGUAGCAGAGACUGCUGUUGCUUAGGGUUUGGAGAAGCUCAGGAUCAGGAUACAUUCUACCAUGUGUUGGUGGCAGAAAGUCAGUUAUUCUUUUCCUCAAACUAAAUAAGGAUUCCUUUAGGAAGAAGAAAAUCCAUCCUUUUAUUCCUAUUUAUCCCCAGAUCCACUUCUACCUUUAUUUUUCCUAUUAUAUGAAGAAAACUGUACCUAUCGUUAUGAUUGUGGUAUUGGGAAUAGACUAUUAAGAGGAGUGAGAGGGAGAGUAACCACUUAGUCACUGGCAGCAGCCGCAGGGAAGGAAGCAGCAGGUAUGUGCAGGCUCAACGCUAUCAGCCCUGCCAGAGUGAGUCCUACUGGGAAAGAAGGGCUUUAAGUGCUAAAGAUCAAGGCAGUGAUCAUGGCCUGCUCUAAAACUCUCAAGGUGUGGGCACUAAUGGGACCUCUUGGCUCACUCUAAGUCUAACAAGACUACCUGGUUUCAGGCAAAAUCCGUUGGUUGACGGAAAAGGGUGAUACUGGAAGUGCUAGUUUUCAGCAGCUUUCCUGAAAAGGACGUGAGGGUCUUGGUUCAGCAAGCUGAACAUGAGCCAGCAAUGUGCCCUGGCGGCAAAGGAGGCCAACAGUAUCCUGGGAGGUAGCAAUGGGAGCGUAGUCAGCAGAUCGUGAGAAAUGAUUGGUCCCCUUUCCCUGGCACUUGUUAGACCACUUCUAGAACAUUGCGUCCAGUUUGGGGCUCCCAGCACGGGAAAGACAUUAAUAAACCGGAGUGAGUUCAGCAGAUGACCACUAGAGGUUUGGUGGAUGGAGCACUCCGUUGAGAGGCCGAGGGAACUGGGCUUGUCCAGCCUGGAGAAGAGCUGCCUUUGAGGACACUAAUAGCUAGUAGCCUUCCAGUACCAACAGGGAGGUUAUCAGGAGGAUGGAGCCGGGCUCCACAGUGGUGCACGGCGGGAGAGUGAGAGACAACGGGCGCAAAUUGAAACAAGAGAGGUUCUGACUGGAUAUAAGGAAAACAUUCUCUCCCAUGAGGACAAUCAAGCAGUGGAGCAGGCUUCCAGAGAGGCUGUGCAGCCUCCAUCCUUGGUGGUUUUCAAGAUCCAACUGAAUAAACACCCUGAGCAACCUGGUCUAACGUAACGGCUGACCCUGCUUUGAGCAGAGGUUGGACUAGAGACCUCCUGAAGUCCUUUCCAACCUGUAUGAUUCUGUGUUUCAAUGAUAAUUACUGUCUGAAAUACUGAUCUCGUUGUCAGCUUCCCCUGAGGAGUUCAAGCUGACCUCUGCGGAGGGAGUUCUGGUCUCCUCAAGGUAAGCAGAUUGCAUGCAGCCUGGCGAUGGAGCCAGUUCUCUUGUCACUGUAUGGUGAUACAUUUCUUUGCUGAUUUAUGGCCUAUGCUGGUAUUUUUGUUGCUGGCUCUUCUUUUUUUCAUGAAUAGUUUCAUUGCGCUUAAUGCAGUGCUUUUGUAGCACAACUUCCCACAGAUAAAGCUUCAGAGCGUGUUCCUGAGUUUUACUGCAAAUAACCCAGUUAAAAUAGCAAUUUGUCUUUUCCUUGAAUUCACAGAGAGGCUUAGAUCCAGAAGUUUUAUAUUACAUGGUUGUAAUAGCAGGGGACUAGACUCAAUAAUCCAGACUCCUGUAUUUCUGUGCUCCUCACAUCUUGCACUUCCCCUUCACACUGGAAUAAUUUUCGGAGUGCCUACAAAACGUGGUCCACGUGCUUUCCACAUGCCCUGGCUGGGGUCAUGCCCCUCCCAGCCACACAGAUGUAACACAAUACUGUAUUACAGUAUUGCUUGCCUCCCUUGCAAUUCCCCAGUGCGGUGAAGUGCUCUGUGAGCCAGAAGAAUUUGGCUAAAUGCCUCAGAGUCACGAUCGCAGGCAUGUCCCAAAGCUCUCAGCCCAGUCCACCUCGUACACACGUAGCAGAUAACCAUGGUCUCCCCUGUAACAGUGUGUUCAUCUGUGUUGGUGCCUUUUUCCAAGGAAUGCUGAAGAUUACCUUAUCUACCCUGCUUGAGAAAAAAGGUGUCAGUUUAACCACUGUAGGUUCCCUUUUUUGCCAAUUGAGAUUCAUUUGACCAAAUGUGGUUACUCGCUUUAAGGUGCACAAAUAGACUGUAUCUGCUAAGACUCAACUCACUGUUGAAUCUGAGGUAAUCUGAGCAUUUGAUACCCACCUCUGAUCAGCAGAGUCCCACCUGGAGAUCACAGAGGGCUCUAUAGCAGAGACAGGAUUAAAUUUAGACAUCUUAAUCUGGACAUUAAUCAUUAAGCAAAACCAUCAGGCAUUCGUGUUUUGAGAAAAGUUUUCCUUUAGCUUUAUUCCUGGUACAGUUUUUUUUGUGAGUUUGGUGUAUGCGAAUGUGUGCUUGUGUAUGGGCAGAAUCAGGCUUUUCUACUGUGCUACUUUGGUUUGUUCUUGCUGAAAAUGGUUGGGGAGAACUGGUGCACGAGCUUCUGCACGCCCGUAUUGUGUUAGUCGUGGCAUUGGAGGAGUGAAGAGUAACACAUACCUCCUCCAUCUGCGGUUCUGGAGAUGUUAUGUUUAUGUUUGCAAGGUGGCCGAUGUGACUAAAAUUAAUUUAUAAACAUUUAAAAUUUUACUCCAGUAUCUCCUGCUGCCAGCCUCCCCCAUAUCCCCGCUGCAGAUACACUGAUACAUAUUCUGAAUAUGCCUUUGGCUAGAUAGUGUGCGACUGAUACCUGCGGUCUGCUGUGCUGAAAGAAGGAAAAUUUAUAUGUAGGAUGCACUGGUGGAUAUAAAUGCAGUCAGAAUAAAUUCUUACUGCGCAAAGAAAACUGGAAAUGAAUAGGGUCUAAAACUGGAAAACAACAAGAAGUCAGGGAUACAGCUGUGCAGAAAAUUCCUCUUCAUUCAAAUGAGCAGUGAGAUAUGGAUGUUCUUGAACGGGCUCAGGGGGUUUACUUUCGCCAAUGCAGCACAUGCUCUUGAACUCUUGAACUUAAUGAUACAAGCACUUGACUGUACAGCUCUGUACUUCAAUUCAGGCUGCGUCCACCCUUGGAAACUCCUGGAACUGCAUGAAUGAAUGGAGGUACCUCUGCAUGUGGAUAUUGUGCAUGUUUUGCAUAACCCCUGCCUAAUCCAAAUAUGCAGUUAAUGCACCAGCAAAGAAUAAAGAGGAGACUCUGCAUGCAGGUGACUCUCGUUACUUCGCAUCCCUUUUCAGCCUAGGCAGGCAGCUGUAACCACGUGGCACAUAACUGGAGAGCCACAUUUAAAAACAAUUAGAAUGCCAAAAGUUUUGUGAAAUGCAGUGCUUUAUUUUUUUUUAAAUUAUUGAUUUACAUCCUGUGCCAAUGAAACUAGCAAAAGUGUUUACAGAAGAGGAAGGCUAUUUGGCUGCAAUGAUUUGCAGGGGAUUGUUGUAUGGGAGCUAUCAGGGAUAGUGUAUUAUUUAUCAUGGCUCUGGCAGACUUCUAAAAAAAAAUCACUUUUUUUUCUUUUUUCAGAUUGCUGAACUGAAAGAGCCUUGCAAGGUUUUGAGAAAUGCCUUUCCAAGCGUGCACUUAAGCAUCAGUAUUGUUCAUCUUUAUGAGUAAGACUGGACGAACACAAUACUUAAUAAGGACCUCAUCCUUACAUUUCUCAGCCUGAAGCUUCCUUUGAAGUUUGCCCAAGAGUAAACUAGGACCUGAGGAAUUUGUAUUAGGCGAAGAGAAAUGACGGUUGGACUCUUCCUCUCUAGCCGGGAGUAAUACGACUUAGUCAGUGACCUGGAGGCACAUUCAAUUAUGAGCUCUCUGAAAGUCCAUCACAUAAUGACUUGUUAGAGACUUCCCUAACAAACUUCCCCAUGUGAUGCAGGAUUGCGGACGGGAAUGAUUAUUUGCUGCAGUCAAAGAGUAUGAGUUCAUUCUGAGUACAUACGGGUAGCUUUCAGACUCCUGGAAAACUCUUGCGUCUCUUCCCUCUGUGAGCAGGAAUUAUACCUUAAAAGUCAAUGUGAUUAUUUUAAAAGGUCUGAAAUGUUUGGGGCAAUCAUUUAAUAUCUAUAUGUAGAGUUGCAGCCCCAUUGCAUUAUGAGGGCUUGGGAUCUGGGAUCUCUGAAAAAGGAGAAGUUCCUUCCUUGUUUAUCCCACAGCCAAUAUCCACCUGUAUUGUUGCCUCCGGUCUUUGAGAUACAUCCUGCAAUGCUGCAAGGUUUUAGUAGCACCUCUACCAUGAAUGCUAAUCCUUGCUACUUUGGGCAGGAAAACCUUUUAAGAGAUUUUUCCAUGUUUUCUGGAUAAUUCCAGCUGCUGAUAAUGUUCUGGAGGAAGAUCUGUUGUAUCCUCUGUAAGAGCUAUAGCCUAACCUACUAGUGUGCCUGCCUUGUGCAGUUUACUGCGUUUUUAGUCCUUCCCUGAUCCCACCUGAAAAUCCUCUCCAGUAAUGCUCAUUCUGAGAUCAUGCUGGUCCAGAGUUACCUGUAUCCCUCUUGAAUAUUGAAUUCUCUUAUCGUUUAAAUUAUUUACACAAGAAAUUAAAGAAAUCAAGGUUGAAUCUUGAGCCACAGCACAUUUUAAGUUUCCAGCACGGGUGAUUUGUUUGUAUCUAUCAUUUUGAGUCUUUUUCACUGUACCGUGUGCUUGAAGUUUGGCAGCUAGAAAUUAAACCCCUAGAAUGAAUACAGUUACUCCCUGCCAUGACUCAGAACAGUCUGUCCAAAGUUUUUCAUCAAAGUGAAAUUAUAAUCAGUUAUGACAAAAGUGGCAGGAUGCCAAAGGGAUAAUAUAUUGAGCAGGAAGGAGAAAUGAAACUCCACGCAGUGUUUGGAGCAGAGCUUAGCAAAUUGAUGGCCGAGCGUCUCGCGGCGUCGCCAAUCUCCUGCUGCCUGAGGAGAGGAGGGAGCAGCACUCGGUGUCUGUGAUCCUCAGCACUGUCACGGUCAUAUACCAGGUACCUGCUAAGGGUAGAGGUGCUUGUCCCGAGCCAAACUUCCCUUGGAUCUUGGAUCUCAAUGUUUUGUGCCUGUGGAUGUGAUAUGGAACGACCAUAGCAGUCGUGCGGAUCCUGGUAUCGGUGUUAACGACAGCAGCCGCUCACAACGGAUGUGGCUGGUGGGGGCAGGAAGAACGGCAGCUCUACUCCAUACAAAAAUCUGUAAAAUAUUACCUUUUUGCUUAAGUCUAAGUCUGUGAAGUAAGUUGCAAAGCACACUUGGAGGAAUGAAUGUUGGACCACAUUUUCCUGAAGUUCCAAAUAUCUGAGGUUAGAAGAUGGUCUAAGUGGCUCAUAAUGUUUUAUUUUUCUUAUGCCUGUAACAUUUCUGGUUAAGUAGAAUAAUGAUCACAGAAUUAGCUUAAUUUUAAAUGUGUGUGGCUCAAUACUUUGCUGACUAAACUCUUUGUAACAUGAAGGAUUCACUCCAGGAUGAAUUUGGCCAACAUUUGAUAGUGUCUAGUAUGGUAAUUGCUAUUUAAAGAGAAAAAUGUAAAUCUACCUCCAGAAGGAAAGAGGAGAAGUGUGUUUAUUGACAACAGCACUGCUAUAGAGAUGAGGGACAUUUUCAAGUAGCAAUAAUAAAAAGAUACAUGCACUAAAUUAUCUCUGCUUGGUUCUGUCAUUGUUGGUCUUGUUACCAUCACUACCUGCUGCGCUGGUUCAGAACAACAACAGCACCGGAAUUUCUUUAGACGUUUGUCCUUACAAAUAACCCUAGAUCUGUGGAACUGGAUGAUUUCAUUUUACUUUGACAAUGACAUUUCAGUCUGUAGAAAAUAGCUUUUCAGUCUCUUUUGCAGACCACAAAUUAAAAGAAUAAUUUAUCACAGAAAAG
Long non-coding RNA from Dromaius novaehollandiae (emu), 8841 nucleotides. RefSeq lists it as uncharacterized. Lineage: Eukaryota; Metazoa; Chordata; Aves; Casuariiformes; Dromaiidae. The transcript is spliced from 3 exons. The record is from RefSeq and is a predicted model, not a curated record.